GACGUAGGGCGCGAGCGUUGUCCGGAUUUAUUGGGCGUAAAGAGCUCGUAGGCGGCUUGUCGCGUCGAAUGUGAAAACUCGGGGCUCAACUCCGAGCUUGCAUUCGAUACGGGCAGGCUAGAGUUCGGUAGGGGAGACUGGAAUUCCUGGUGUAGCGGUGAAAUGCGCAGAUAUCAGGAGGAACACCAAUGGCGAAGGCAGAUCUCUGGGCCGUAACUGACGCUGAGGAGCGAAAGCAUGGGGAGCGAACAGG
RNAcentral lists this ribosomal RNA (253 nucleotides) under uncultured bacterium. Its description in RNAcentral is "partial 16S ribosomal RNA". It matches the Rfam family "Bacterial small subunit ribosomal RNA", at positions 524 to 776 of the family's 1533-position model. The record is from RNAcentral.